Molecule: ribosomal RNA, 543 nt
Filed under: uncultured bacterium
Lineage: Bacteria
Description: partial 16S ribosomal RNA
Rfam family: Bacterial small subunit ribosomal RNA
Source: RNAcentral
UGGGGAAUUUUGGACAAUGGGGGAAACCCUGAUCCAGCCAUCCCGCGUGUGCGAUGAAGGCCUUCGGGUUGUAAAGCACUUUUGGCAGGAAAGAAACGUCGCGGGUUAAUACCCCGCGAAACUGACGGUACCUGCAGAAUAAGCACCGGCUAACUACGUGCCAGCAGCCGCGGUAAUACGUAGGGUGCAAGCGUUAAUCGGAAUUACUGGGCGUAAAGCGUGCGCAGGCGGUUCGGAAAGAAAGAUGUGAAAUCCCAGAGCUUAACUUUGGAACUGCAUUUUUAACUACCGGGCUAGAGUGUGUCAGAGGGAGGUGGAAUUCCGCGUGUAGCAGUGAAAUGCGUAGAUAUGCGGAGGAACACCGAUGGCGAAGGCAGCCUCCUGGGAUAACACUGACGCUCAUGCACGAAAGCGUGGGGAGCAAACAGGAUUAGAUACCCUGGUAGUCCACGCCCUAAACGAUGUCAACUAGCUGUUGGGGCCUUCGGGCCUUGGUAGCGCAGCUAACGCGUGAAGUUGACCGCCUGGGGGGUACGGUCGCAA